This 754-nucleotide ribosomal RNA is filed under the name uncultured organism. Its description in RNAcentral is "bacterial SSU rRNA". It matches the Rfam family "Bacterial small subunit ribosomal RNA", at positions 582 to 1338 of the family's 1533-position model. The record is from RNAcentral.
ACUAAGUCAGAGGUGAAAACCCAUGGCUAAACUGUGGGAUAGCAACUGAAACUAGAGAUCUUGAGUACUGGAGAGGGAAGCGGAAUUCCUAGUGUAGCGGUGAAAUGCGUAGAUAUUAGGAGGAACACCAGUGGCGAAGGCGGCUUCCUGGACAGAGACUGACACUGAGGCGCGAAAGCGUGGGGAGCGAACAGGAUUAGAUACCCUGGUAGUCCACGCUGUAAACGAUGGAUACUAGGUGUAGGUGGUAAGAAACCAUCUGUGCCGGAGUAAACACAAUAAGUAUCCCACCUGGGGAGUACAGCCGCAAGGUUGAAACUCAAAGGAAUUGACGGGGGCCCGCACAAGCAGUGGAGUAUGUGGUUUAAUUCGAAGCAACGCGAAGAACCUUACCAGGGCUUGACAUCCCUUGAACUAUCUAGAGAUAGGUAGGGCCUACGGGACAAGGAGACAGGUGGUGCAUGGUUGUCGUCAGCUCGUGUCGUGAGAUGUUGGGUUAAGUCCCGCAACGAGCGCAACCCUUAUAGCUAGUUGCCAGCAAUAAGAUGGGGACUCUAGCGAGACAGCCGUUGAGAAAACGGAGGAAGGAAAGGAUGACGUCAAAUCAUCAUGCCCCUUAUGCUCUGGGCUACACACGUACUACAAUGGCUACUACAGAGGGAAGCGAAGCCAGGAGGCGGAGCAAAUCUCAAAAAGGUGAGUCCCAGUUCAGAUUGUAGGCUGAAACUCGCCUGCAUGAAGUAGGAAUUGCUAG